This 468-nucleotide ribosomal RNA is filed under the name uncultured bacterium. RNAcentral's name for it is "partial 16S ribosomal RNA". It matches the Rfam family "Bacterial small subunit ribosomal RNA", at positions 28 to 507 of the family's 1533-position model. The record is from RNAcentral.
GACGAACGCUGGCGGCGUGCUUAACACAUGCCAGUCGAACGGAAAGGCCCUGCUUUUGUGGGGUGCUCGAGUGGCGAACGGGUGAGUAACACGUGAGUAACCUGCCCUUGACUUUGGGAUAACUUCAGGAAACUGGGGCUAAUACCGGAUAGGAGCUCCUGCUGCAUGGUGGGCGUUGGAAAGUUUCGGCGGUUGGGGAUGGACUCGCGGCUUAUCAGCUUGUUGGUGGGGUAGUGGCUUACCAAGGCUUUGACGGGUAGCCGGCCUGAGAGGGUGACCGGCCACAUUGGGACUGAGAUACGGCCCAGACUCCUACGGGAGGCAGCAGUGGGGAAUAUUGCACAAUGGGCGGAAGCCUGAUGCAGCAACGCCGCGUGCGGGAUGACGGCCUUCGGGUUGUAAACCGCUUUCGCCUGCGACGAAGCGUGAGUGACGGUAAUGGGUAAAGAAGCACCGGCUAACUACGUG